Vicia faba (fava bean) is the source of this 420-nucleotide non-coding RNA. NCBI's taxonomy places the organism in Eukaryota, Viridiplantae, Streptophyta, Magnoliopsida, Fabales, Fabaceae. The record is from the annotation of a GenBank genome assembly.
AUGUCCGUUCUUUUUGGGUUGCUUCCGAAAGAAGUUCUCCCUCCCGAACGGUCUUCUCACCACCGUCGGAUUUCUCGUCUCAGCCAACUCCGACCUCCCUCCUCCCUUGCCGCCGGACUUCCGUUUUCUCACCACCGCCGGACUGUUCUUCCUAUCUCAACUCCGCAGCUCCCUCCGUCUAUAAUCUCUCUCCAUCUGCAGCUCCCUUCGUCUGCAUUCUCUCUCGGUCCGCAGCUCCCUCCGUCAGUAACCUCUCUCCGUCUGCAACUUCCAUGCGUCUGCAACCUCCUUCCUCCGUGUCUUGCUUCCUCUCAGCCGGUACACUCAGCUCCGGUUAACCUCGACUCUUCCUCUUCAUAUACUUCAAGCGUCUUCAGGAGGUAUUGUUAUAAUUUCCUUUGGUUUUCUGUUGAAUCUUGA